RNAcentral lists this unclassified non-coding RNA (345 nucleotides) under soil metagenome. Its description in RNAcentral is "partial contains 5.8S ribosomal RNA, internal transcribed spacer 2, and large subunit ribosomal RNA". The stretch from base 1 to 119 matches the Rfam family "5.8S ribosomal RNA", at positions 35 to 154 of the family's 154-position model. The record is from RNAcentral.
GAUGAAGAACGCAGCGAAAUGCGAUACGUAAUGUGAAUUGCAAAUUCAGUGAAUCAUCGAGUCUUUGAACGCACAUUGCGCCCCCUGGUAUUCCGGGGGGCAUGCCUGUCCGAGCGUCAUUGCUGCCCUCAAGCACGGCUUGUGUGUUGGGCCCCGUCCUCCGAUCCCGGGGGACGGGCCCGAAAGGUAGCGGCGGCACCGCGUCCGGUCCUCGAGCGUAUGGGGCUUUGUCACCCGCUCUGUAGGCCCGGCCGGCGCUUGCCGAUCAACCCAAAUUUUUAUCCAGGUUGACCUCGGAUCAGGUAGGGAUACCCGCUGAACUUAAGCAUAUCAAUAAGCGGAGGA